RNAcentral lists this long non-coding RNA (1989 nucleotides) under Pelobates cultripes (western spadefoot toad). Lineage: Eukaryota; Metazoa; Chordata; Amphibia; Anura; Pelobatidae. The record is from RNAcentral.
AUAAACACAAAUAUAAAUUAAACAGAUAAUAGGUAGGUUGCAGAUAAUAGGUUGCAUCUCUUAGACUGAAUGAAGAUUUGACUGUGUCCAUGAUGUUAUUCCAUAAUUGCGGUGCUCUGUAGGAAAACGAAGAUUAAACCACUUUAUUUUUGUAUUGCGGUGUGCUAAAUAAAGUGCUGGUACUGGAUCGGAGGUUAGAGGAUGUGGGAACGGCUGGGGAGAGCUUCCCAGAGAAGCUCUUAUGCACAAGGCUGGAAAGAUGAAGAGUGUGUCGGGAUUCCAGCAACAGCCAGUUUAGCUCUUUUAACAUGUCACAAUGGUGGGUGAAGUAAUUACAUUCUAGAAGGUGGGUUUGAGGCACAGGUGCAUACACUACAUCCCCAUAAUCAAUAAUAAUAAUCAAUAAUAAUAAUAAUGAUGGCUGUAGUAUAAAAAAAUAAAUAAUAAUAUAAAAGGUGGAUCUGACGUUUAUUUGUAUGCAAAUUAAUUUCACUCCAGAACAGGGGCUGCAUUUAGUCAAAUGCUGAAACCAGGGAAAGCAGUGAUUUGUCAUAUAGAUAUCUAGAAAUCUCUGAACCUAUCCAGCCCCUUCCUGCUCCUGUCUGUUUUCAGUUCACCUAUCCUUGCUUCAUGUCUGCCUUCCAGUCAGAGUAUGCUAUUGGUUUAAUUUCCCUGAUUACACGUACAUACUAAGUUUCAGUUUACACUCAAAGCAAGGAUAUUUAACCUGCUAAUAAAAAAUUCUCUUGGGCAUAAAGAUCCAAAAGCUCAUAAAUAUAAGGCAGGUAAGAAUUUCAGAUACAGGGAUUAAAGGACCACUAUAGUGCCAGGAAAACAUACUCGUUUUCCUGGCACUAUAGGGCCCUGAGGGUGCCCCCACCCUCAGGGUCCCCCUCCCGCCGGGCUCUAGGGAGAGGAAGGGCACUUACCUCUUUCUCCAGCGCCGGGCGGGGAGCUCUCCUCCUCCUCUCCGCCUCCUCGGCUGAAUGCGCAUACGCGGCAAGAGAUGUGCGCGCAUUCAGCCAGUCUCAUAGGAAAGCAUUCAUAAUGCUUUCCUAUAGACGCUGGCGUCUUCUCACUGUGAUUUUCACAGUGAGAAGCACGCAAGCGCCUCUAGCGGCUGUCAAUGAGGCAGCCACUGGAGGCUGGAUUAACCCUAAUAUAAACAUAGCAGUUUCUCUGAAACUGCUAUGUUUAUAGAAAAAAGGGUUAACCCUAGCUGGACCUGUCACCCAGACCACUUCAUUAAGCUGAAGUGGUCUGGGUGCCUAUAGUGGUCCUUUAAUGGCAGUUAUCAGAAAUACUUGGUUCUUUGUAAAAAAUAUGCUUCACAGUAUCUGCUUUGUACUAUUCAGUAGGGAUUUGGCUUCCCAUAUGGUCACUGUAGCUCUCUCUAGUACCUGAUCUUGUAUCUGGGUGGACCGACAAUUAUAGGAAUGUCACCUCUGAGAGAUAUCCUUACUGAGACCAAUGUCAUGCUAUCUCUCCCCCCCAGCUGGUCUAAAUGCGCAGGCCCAUCUGCCUGUGCCUCCUUCUCAAAGGGAUUUCAACCCCUGUGCCCGCUCUACCCAGAGACGUAUUGACUUCCCUGCCCAUCCCUCCAUCCCCCAGGUGUCAACCCUUCUGCUUGUCCUCUUUCUUCAAGGCAGGUAUGUGGUUCAAGGGCCUAGCUCAAUGAAAACCAGGAAGCAAGUCUGAAGACUCUACUACUGGAAUCCUUGAACAAACCAGACAGGACACACAGUUCUCAAUAGGGCUAGUACACACUACUUUAUUUUUGAACAAGGGCUAGCCUGUGGUGACUUGUCCUAAGACAUAUGGUGGAAACCAUUUAAAAUACAAAUAUACAGAAUCAUUGGAGAACAAGCAAAUAUAAUUAAUGCACCAACUAUUUAAUACAAUCAUAACUUUCUAACCUUUGGAAAAAGAGAUAUACGGAUGUAACUGGUUACUUGUUUGCAAUUUCCUAAUUUCUUAAUUGUAAUUAUA